Molecule: ribosomal RNA, 459 nt
Filed under: uncultured bacterium
Lineage: Bacteria
Description: partial 16S ribosomal RNA
Rfam family: Bacterial small subunit ribosomal RNA
Source: RNAcentral
CCUACGGGUGGCAGCAGUGAGGAAUAUUGGUCAAUGGCCGAGAGGCUGAACCAGCCAAGUCGCGUGAGGGAAGACGGCCCUACGGGUUGUAAACCUCUUUUGUCGGGGAGCAAAGCGAACCACGUGUGGUUCAUUGAGAGUACCCGAAGAAAAAGCAUCGGCUAACUCCGUGCCAGCAGCCGCGGUAAUACGGAGGAUGCGAGCGUUAUCCGGAUUUAUUGGGGUUAAAGGGUGCGCAGGCGGAGGUGCAAGUCAGCGGUCAAAUUGCGGGGCUCAACCCCGUACUGCCGUUGAAACUGCAUCCCUUGAGUGCAGGAGAGGGAAGCAGAAUUCCUAGUGUAGCGGUGAAAUGCGUAGAGAUUAGGAGGAACACCAGUGGCGAAGGCGGCUUACUGGACUGUAACUGACGUUGAGGCUCGAAAGCGUGGGGAGCAAACAGGAUUAGAUACCCGAGUAGUC